Molecule: ribosomal RNA, 417 nt
Filed under: Micrococcus sp.
Lineage: Bacteria; Bacillati; Actinomycetota; Actinomycetes; Micrococcales; Micrococcaceae
Description: bacterial SSU rRNA
Rfam family: Bacterial small subunit ribosomal RNA
Source: RNAcentral
UUGACGGGGGCCCGCACAAGCGGCGGAGCAUGCGGAUUAAUUCGAUGCAACGCGAAGAACCUUACCAAGGCUUGACAUGUUCUCGAUCGCCGUAGAGAUACGGUUUCCCCUUUGGGGCGGGAUCACAGGUGGUGCAUGGUUGUCGUCAGCUCGUGUCGUGAGAUGUUGGGUUAAGUCCCGCAACGAGCGCAACCCUCGUUCCAUGUUGCCAGCACGUCAUGGUGGGGACUCAUGGGAGACCGUUCGGGGUCAACUCGGAGGAAGGUGGGGACGACGUCAAAUCUUCAUGCCCCUUAUGUCUUGGGCUUCACGCAUGCUACAAUGGCCGGUACAAUGGGUUGCGAUACUGUGAGGUGGAGCUAAUCCCAAAAAGCCGGUCUCAGUUCGGAUUGGGGUCUGCAACCUCGACCCCAUGAA